AUACGUAGGGGGCGAGCGUUGUCCGGAAUGAUUGGGCGUAAAGGGCGCGUAGGCGGCCCGGUAAGUCUGGAGUGAAAGUCCUGUUUUUAAGAUGGGAAUUGCUUUGGAUACUGUCGGGCUUGAGUGCAGGAGAGGUAAGUGGAAUUCCCAGUGUAGCGGUGAAAUGCGUAGAGAUUGGGAGGAACACCAGUGGCGAAGGCGACUUACUGGACUGUAACUGACGCUGAGGCGCGAAAGUGUGGGGAGCAAACAGGAUUAGAUACCCUGGUAGUCCACACUGUAAACGAUGAAUGCUAGGUGUAGGGGGUAUGACCCAUGGGUGCCGCAGCCAACGCAAUAAGUGAUCCACCUGGGGAGUACGUUCGCAAGAAUGAAACUCAAAUGAAUUGACGGGG
This 395-nucleotide ribosomal RNA is filed under the name uncultured bacterium. RNAcentral's name for it is "partial 16S ribosomal RNA". It matches the Rfam family "Bacterial small subunit ribosomal RNA", at positions 523 to 918 of the family's 1533-position model. The record is from RNAcentral.